AUUGAACGCUGGCGGCAUGCUUUACACAUGCAAGUCGAACGGUAACAGGCCGCAAGGUGCUGACGAGUGGCGAACGGGUGAGUAAUGCAUCGGAACGUGCCCAGUCGUGGGGGAUAACUACUCGAAAGAGUAGCUAAUACCGCAUACGAUCUAUGGAUGAAAGCGGGGGACCGUAAGGCCUCGCGCGAUUGGAGCGGCCGAUGUCAGAUUAGGUAGUUGGUGGGGGAAGGGCUCACCAAGCCAACGAUCUGUAGCUGGUCUGAGAGGACGACCAGCCACACUGGGACUGAGACACGGCCCAGACUCCUACGGGAGGCAGCAGCGGGGAAUUUUGGACAAUGGGCGCAAGCCUGAUCCAGCAAUGCCGCGUGCAGGAAGAAGGCCUUCGGGUUGUAAACUGCCUUUGUACGGAACGAAACGGCUCUGGUUAAUACCCGGGGCUAAUGACGGUACCGUAAGAAUAAGCACCGGCUAACUACGUG
This 482-nucleotide ribosomal RNA is filed under the name uncultured bacterium. RNAcentral describes it as "partial 16S ribosomal RNA". It matches the Rfam family "Bacterial small subunit ribosomal RNA", at positions 30 to 507 of the family's 1533-position model. The record is from RNAcentral.